AACGUAGGACGCAAGCGUUAUCCGGAUUUACUGGGCGUAAAGCGCGUGCAGGCGGCCUGUUAAGUCGUGCGUGAAAGCUCCCUGGCUCAACCGGGAGAGGUCGUACGAAACUGGCAGGCUAAGAGGGCAGCAGAGGAGUGUGGAAUUCCGGGUGUAGUGGUGAAAUGCGUAGAUAUCCGGAGGAACACCAGUGGCGAAGGCGGCACUCUGGGCUGUACCUGACGCUAAGACGCGAAAGCGUGGGU
This 245-nucleotide ribosomal RNA is filed under the name uncultured Anaerolineaceae bacterium. RNAcentral describes it as "partial 16S ribosomal RNA". It matches the Rfam family "Bacterial small subunit ribosomal RNA", at positions 524 to 766 of the family's 1533-position model. The record is from RNAcentral. Lineage: Bacteria; Bacillati; Chloroflexota; Anaerolineae; Anaerolineales; Anaerolineaceae.